RNAcentral lists this ribosomal RNA (496 nucleotides) under Klebsiella pneumoniae. RNAcentral describes it as "partial 23S ribosomal RNA". It matches the Rfam family "Bacterial large subunit ribosomal RNA", at positions 1 to 536 of the family's 2925-position model. Lineage: Bacteria; Pseudomonadati; Pseudomonadota; Gammaproteobacteria; Enterobacterales; Enterobacteriaceae. The record is from RNAcentral.
GGUUAAGCGACUAAGCGUACACGGUGGAUGCCCUGGCAGUCAGAGGCGAUGAAGGACGUGCUAAUCUGCGAUAAGCGUCGGUGAGGUGAUAUGAACCGUUAUAACCGGCGAUUUCCGAAUGGGGAAACCCAGUGUGUUUCGACACACUAUCAUUAACUGAAUCCAUAGGUUAAUGAGGCGAACCGGGGGAACUGAAACAUCUAAGUACCCCGAGGAAAAGAAAUCAACCGAGAUUCCCCCAGUAGCGGCGAGCGAACGGGGAGGAGCCCAGAGCCUGAAUCAGUGUGUGUGUUAGUGGAAGCGUCUGGAAAGGCGCGCGAUACAGGGUGACAGCCCCGUACACAAAAAUGCACAUAUUGUGAGCUCGAUGAGUAGGGCGGGACACGUGGUAUCCUGUCUGAAUAUGGGGGGACCAUCCUCCAAGGCUAAAUACUCCUGACUGACCGAUAGUGAACCAGUACCGUGAGGGAAAGGCGAAAAGAACCCCGGCGAGGGG